GUUAAAACCUUCAGCCCCACGUGCUGUUUGCAAACCUGCCUGUACCUGAGGCCCUAAAAAGCCAGAGACCUCACUCCCGGGGAGCCAGCAUGUCCACUGCGGUCCUGGAAAACCCAGGCUUGGGCAGGAAACUCUCUGACUUUGGACAGGAAACAAGCUAUAUUGAAGACAACUGCAAUCAAAAUGGUGCCAUAUCACUGAUCUUCUCACUCAAAGAAGAAGUUGGUGCAUUGGCCAAAGUAUUGCGCUUAUUUGAGGAGAAUGAUAUAAACCUGACCCACAUUGAAUCUAGACCUUCUCGUUUAAAGAAAGAUGAGUACGAAUUUUUCACCCAUUUGGAUAAACGUAGCCUGCCUGCUCUGACAAACAUCAUCAAGAUCUUGAGGCAUGACAUUGGUGCCACUGUCCAUGAGCUUUCACGAGAUAAGAAGAAAGACACAGUGCCCUGGUUCCCAAGAACCAUUCAAGAGCUGGACAGAUUUGCCAAUCAGAUUCUCAGCUAUGGAGCGGAACUGGAUGCUGACCACCCUUGGGCAGCCCAUCCCUCGAGUGGAAUACAUGGAGGAAGAAAAGAAAACAUGGGG
RNAcentral lists this small RNA (584 nucleotides) under Pan troglodytes (chimpanzee). Its description in RNAcentral is "processed transcript". The record is from RNAcentral. Lineage: Eukaryota; Metazoa; Chordata; Mammalia; Primates; Hominidae.